Molecule: transfer RNA, 83 nt
Filed under: Uronema confervicola
Lineage: Eukaryota; Viridiplantae; Chlorophyta; Chlorophyceae; Chaetophorales; Uronemataceae
Also listed under: 2 other names
Description: tRNA-Leu
Rfam family: tRNA
About the family: Transfer RNA (tRNA) molecules are approximately 80 nucleotides in length. Their secondary structure includes four short double-helical elements and three loops (D, anti-codon, and T loops).
Source: RNAcentral
GAGAUUGUGAUGGAAUGGUAGACAUUGUGGACUUAAAAUCCGCUGAUUUUAUAAUCGUGAGGGUUCGACUCCCUCCAAUCUCA